This 396-nucleotide ribosomal RNA is filed under the name uncultured bacterium. RNAcentral's name for it is "partial 16S ribosomal RNA". It matches the Rfam family "Bacterial small subunit ribosomal RNA", at positions 523 to 918 of the family's 1533-position model. The record is from RNAcentral.
AUACGUAGGUGGCGAGCGUUGUCCGGAAUUAUUGGGCGUAAAGAGCAUGUAGGCGGCUUAAUAAGUCGAGCGUGAAAAUGCGGGGCUCAACCCCGUAUGGCGCUGGAAACUGUUAGGCUUGAGUGCAGGAGAGGAAAGGGGAAUUCCCAGUGUAGCGGUGAAAUGCGUAGAUAUUGGGAGGAACGCCAGUGGCGAAGGCGCCUUUCUGGACUGUGUCUGACGCUGAGAUGCGAAAGCCAGGGUAGCGAACGGGAUUAGAUACCCCGGUAGUCCUGGCCGUAAACGAUGGGUACUAGGUGUAGGAGGUAUCGACCCCUUCUGUGCCGGAGUUAACGCAAUAAGUACCCCGCCUGGGGAGUACGGCCGCAAGGUUGAAACUCAAAUGAAUUGACGGGG